GUUAGAGGUGCAGCAAAAAGUAACAGUUUAUCAGUCAUAAAAGUUGAUGAAGACAUCGAUCUUUCCUGUAAUAAAGUAAUUGAUUUAUCUUUGGAUUCAUGCUCUGAGUCUGAAAGUGAUAGUUGGUGGAUAAAAGACCUGUGUCUCAAGGAAGAAGACAAGUGUGUC
Long non-coding RNA from Amphimedon queenslandica, 168 nucleotides. RefSeq lists it as uncharacterized. Lineage: Eukaryota; Metazoa; Porifera; Demospongiae; Haplosclerida; Niphatidae. The record is from RefSeq and is a predicted model, not a curated record. The transcript is spliced from 3 exons.